Molecule: transfer RNA, 75 nt
Filed under: Pyrobaculum aerophilum str. IM2
Lineage: Archaea; Thermoproteati; Thermoproteota; Thermoprotei; Thermoproteales; Thermoproteaceae
Description: tRNA-Glu
Rfam family: tRNA
About the family: Transfer RNA (tRNA) molecules are approximately 80 nucleotides in length. Their secondary structure includes four short double-helical elements and three loops (D, anti-codon, and T loops). Further hydrogen bonds mediate the characteristic L-shaped molecular structure. tRNAs have two regions of fundamental functional importance: the anti-codon, which is responsible for specific mRNA codon recognition, and the 3' end, to which the tRNAs corresponding amino acid is attached (by aminoacyl-tRNA synthetases). tRNAs cope with the degeneracy of the genetic code in two manners: having more than one tRNA (with a specific anti-codon) for a particular amino acid; and 'wobble' base-pairing, i.e. permitting non-standard base-pairing at the 3rd anti-codon position.
Source: RNAcentral
CAGCCGGUAGUCUAGCCCGGACAAGGAUGCGGGCCUCUCGAGCCCGUGACCCGGGUUCAAAUCCCGGCCGGGGCA